AAAUGAAUUGACGGGGCCCGCACAAGCGGUGGAGUAUGUGGUUUAAUUCGAUGCAACGCGAAGAACCUUACCUGGUCUUGACAUCCCGGAGACCCUUAGGAAACUGGGGGGUGCUUCCAUCUGGAAGAAUCUGGAGACAGGUGCUGCAUGGCUGUCGUCAGCUCGUGUCGUGAGAUGUUGGGUUAAGUCCCGCAACGAGCGCAACCCUUGCCUUUAGUUGCCAGCAGUUCGGCUGGGCACUCUAAAGGGACUGCCGGUGUUAAACCGGAGGAAGGUGGGGAUGACGUCAAGUCCUCAUGGCCUUUAUGACCAGGGCUACACACGUACUACAAUGGCCGAUACAAAGGGCAGCGACACUGCGAGGUGAAGCCAAUCCCGUAAAAUCGGUCUCAGUCCGGAUUGGAGUCUGCAACUCGACUCCAUGAAGUUGGAAUCGCUAGUAAUCGUGGAUCAGCAUGCCACGGUGAAUACGUUCCCGGGCCUU
RNAcentral lists this ribosomal RNA (484 nucleotides) under uncultured Desulfobulbus sp. RNAcentral's name for it is "bacterial SSU rRNA". It matches the Rfam family "Bacterial small subunit ribosomal RNA", at positions 903 to 1382 of the family's 1533-position model. The record is from RNAcentral. Lineage: Bacteria; Pseudomonadati; Thermodesulfobacteriota; Desulfobulbia; Desulfobulbales; Desulfobulbaceae.